ACGGAGGGUGCAAGCGUUAUCCGGAUUUAUUGGGUUUAAAGGGUCCGUAGGCGGACCUUUAAGUCAGUGGUGAAAUCUUUCGGCUUAACCGGAAAACUGCCAUUGAAACUGAAGGUCUUGAAUAUGUUUGAAGUGGGCGGAAUAUGGCAUGUAGCGGUGAAAUGCUUAGAUAUGCCAUAGAACACCGAUAGCGAAGGCAGCUCACUAAGCCAUCAUUGACGCUAAUGGACGAAAGCGUGGGGAGCGAACAGG
Molecule: ribosomal RNA, 252 nt
Filed under: uncultured bacterium
Lineage: Bacteria
Description: partial 16S ribosomal RNA
Rfam family: Bacterial small subunit ribosomal RNA
Source: RNAcentral